AAAGUCGGCCAGGCAAUCGCUGGAUGUCCGGAGGCAACUUCGGCAUCGGGAGGAAAGUCCGGGCUCCAUUGGGCAGGAUGCCAGUUAACGACUGGGUGCUAUAAGUCGCAAGACCCAAGGCAACGGAAAGUGCAACAGAAAAUAGACCGCCGAUGGCCCCAUUGCGCAAGCGUGGGGAUCAGGUAAGGGCGAAACGGCGAGGUAAGAGCUCACCGCGCUGGCGGUAACGUUCAGCGGCAUGGCAAACCCCAUCCGGAGCAAGACCAAAUAGGGAAGCAUUAGGCGUGGCCCGCGCUGCUUCCGGGUAGGUUGCUUGAGCCUGUCGGUGACGGCAGGCCUAGAGGAAUGAUUGCCGAACCCCGCAAGGGGGGAACAGAACCCGGCUUAUCGGCCGGCUUUCCAC
Molecule: RNase P RNA, 403 nt
Filed under: Azonexus sp.
Lineage: Bacteria; Pseudomonadati; Pseudomonadota; Betaproteobacteria; Rhodocyclales; Azonexaceae
Description: RNase P RNA component class A
Rfam family: Bacterial RNase P class A
About the family: Ribonuclease P (RNase P) is a ubiquitous endoribonuclease, found in archaea, bacteria and eukarya as well as chloroplasts and mitochondria. Its best characterised activity is the generation of mature 5'-ends of tRNAs by cleaving the 5'-leader elements of precursor-tRNAs.
Source: RNAcentral